UGGUUGAGGUUUCUAUGUUCAUUCCACUAUCUGUAAAAUAAACGAUACUACAUCUCGUAUCCCACUAAUAGUUUCCUUAAAACUGAAUGUCGGUCAAUAACUGUUUAUUUUUCAACCAUAACUAUAGUGUCCAGGUAAAGGCUACUACCAUCAGGAGUGCCUAGGAAUUGAAAGAGUACCUAAAGGAAAGUGGCUGUGCGACUUCUGCAAACAGAAAU
Dendronephthya gigantea is the source of this 218-nucleotide long non-coding RNA. RefSeq lists it as uncharacterized. The record is from RefSeq and is a predicted model, not a curated record. Lineage: Eukaryota; Metazoa; Cnidaria; Anthozoa; Malacalcyonacea; Nephtheidae. The transcript has 3 exons.